This 1394-nucleotide ribosomal RNA is filed under the name metagenome. Its description in RNAcentral is "bacterial LSU rRNA". It matches the Rfam family "Bacterial large subunit ribosomal RNA", at positions 1537 to 2925 of the family's 2925-position model. The record is from RNAcentral.
AAAAUCCGCCUGUCAUAUACCGAGGCUGCCGAUCGAGCGAGCUUGCUCGCGAAGUGAUUGAACGAGGUUCCAGGAAAAGCCACUAAGCUUCAGCUACACACGACCGUACCGCAAACCGACACUGGUGCGCGAGAUGAGUAUUCUAAGGCGCUUGAGAGAACUCGGGAGAAGGAACUCGGCAAAUUGACACCGUAACUUCGGAAGAAGGUGUGCCCUAGUAGUGUGAAGUGAACAACGGAGCAUGAAUGGGUUGCAAAAAAUCGGUGGCUGCGACUGUUUAUUAAAAACACAGCACUCUGCAAACACGAAAGUGGACGUAUAGGGUGUGACGCCUGCCCGGUGCUGGAAGAUUAAAUGAUGGGGUGCAAGCUCUUGAUUGAAGUCCCAGUAAACGGCGGCCGUAACAAUAACGGUCCUAAGGUAGCGAAAUUCCUUGUCGGGUAAGUUCCGACCUGCACGAAUGGCGUAACGAUGGCCACACUGUCUCCUCCCGAGACUCAGCGAAGUUGAAAUGUUUGUGAUGAUGCAAUCUCCCCGCGGAAAGACGGAAAGACCCCAUGAACCUUUACUGUAGCUUUGUAUUGGACUUUGAACAGAUCUGUGUAGGAUAGGUGGGAGGCUUUGAAGCAGGGUCGCUAGAUCUUGUGGAGCCAACGUUGAAAUACCACCCUGGUGUGUUUGAGGUUCUAACCUAGGUCCAUUAUCUGGAUCGGGGACAGUGCAUGGUAGGCAGUUUGACUGGGGCGGUCUCCUCCCAAAGCGUAACGGAGGAGUUCGAAGGUACGCUAGUUACGGUCGGACAUCGUGACGAUAGUGCAAUGGCAUAAGCGUGCUUAACUGCGAGACUGACAAGUCGAGCAGAUGCGAAAGCAGGACAUAGUGAUCCGGUGGUUCUGUAUGGAAGGGCCAUCGCUCAACGGAUAAAAGGUACUCUGGGGAUAACAGGCUGAUACCGCCCAAGAGUUCAUAUCGACGGCGGUGUUUGGCACCUCGAUGUCGGCUCAUCUCAUCCUGGGGCUGUAGCCGGUCCCAAGGGUAUGGCUGUUCGCCAUUUAAAGAGGUACGUGAGCUGGGUUUAAAACGUCGUGAGACAGUUUGGUCCCUAUCUUCCGUGGGCGCUGCAGAUUUGAGGAAGCCUGCUCCUAGUACGAGAGGACCGGAGUGGACGCACCUCUGGUGUAUCGGUUGUCACGCCAGUGGCAUUGCCGAGUAGCUAUGUGCGGAAGAGAUAACCGCUGAAAGCAUCUAAGCGGGAAACUCGUUCCAAGAUGAGAUCUGCCGGGGCCUUGAGCCCCCUAAAGAGUCGUUCAAGACCAGGACGUUGAUAGGUCAGGUGUGGAAGCGCAGUAAUGCGUUAAGCUAACUGAUACUAAUUGCUCGUGCGGCUUGACCCC